GACGAACGCUGGCGGCGUGCUUAACACAUGCAAGUCGAACGGUGAAGCUCCAGCUUGCUGGAGUGGAUCAGUGGCGAACGGGUGAGUAACACGUGAGCAACCUGCCCCUGACUCUGGAAUAAGCGCUGGAAACGGCGUCUAAUACUGGAUACGAGAAGGGUCCGCAUGGGCACUUUCUGGAAAGUGUUUCGGUUGGGGAUGGGCUCGCGGCCUAUCAGCUUGUUGGUGAGGUAAUGGCUCACCAAGGCGACGACGGGUAGCCGGCCUGAGAGGGCGACCGGCGACAAUGGGACUGAGACACGGACCAGACUCCUACGGGAGGCAGCAGUGGGGAAUAUUGCACAAUGGGCGAAAGCCUGAUGCAGCGACGCCGCGUGAGGGAUGACGGCCUUCGGGUUGUAAACCUCUUUCAGCAGGGAAGAAGCGAAAGUGACGGUACCUGCAGAAGAAGCACCGGCUAACUACGUG
RNAcentral lists this ribosomal RNA (468 nucleotides) under uncultured bacterium. RNAcentral's name for it is "partial 16S ribosomal RNA". It matches the Rfam family "Bacterial small subunit ribosomal RNA", at positions 28 to 507 of the family's 1533-position model. The record is from RNAcentral.